This 467-nucleotide ribosomal RNA is filed under the name uncultured bacterium. RNAcentral describes it as "partial 16S ribosomal RNA". It matches the Rfam family "Bacterial small subunit ribosomal RNA", at positions 28 to 507 of the family's 1533-position model. The record is from RNAcentral.
GACGAACGCUGGCGGCGUGCUUAACACAUGCAAGUCGAACGGAAAGGCCCUGCUUUUGUGGGGUGCUCGAGUGGCGAACGGGUGAGUAACACGUGAGUAACCUGCCCUUGACUUUGGGAUACUUCAGGAAACUGGGGCUAAUACCGGAUAGGAGCUCCUGCUGCAUGGUGGGGGUUGGAAAGUUUCGGCGGUUGGGGAUGGACUCGCGGCUUAUCAGCUUGUUGGUGGGGUAGUGGCUUACCAAGGCUUUGACGGGUAGCCGGCCUGAGAGGGUGACCGGCCACAUUGGGACUGAGAUACGGCCCAGACUCCUACGGGAGGCAGCAGUGGGGAAUAUUGCACAAUGGGCGGAAGCCUGAUGCAGCAACGCCGCGUGCGAGAUGACGGCCUUCGGGUUGUAAACCGCUUUCGCCUGUGACGAAGCGUGAGUGACGGUAAUGGGUAAAGAAGCACCGGCUAACUACGUG